This is a non-coding RNA of Myotis lucifugus (little brown bat), 75 nucleotides long. The record is from Rfam. NCBI's taxonomy places the organism in Eukaryota, Metazoa, Chordata, Mammalia, Chiroptera, Vespertilionidae.
GGCUGUUCUCAGAUGACACCCCCCGGAAUCAGGCUCCCUCCUCUCUGGUUCCCGGUGUGUCACCCGAGAACCGCA